This 937-nucleotide long non-coding RNA is filed under the name Malus domestica (apple). Its description in RNAcentral is "long non-coding RNA (MDOM_LNC003280)". The record is from RNAcentral. Lineage: Eukaryota; Viridiplantae; Streptophyta; Magnoliopsida; Rosales; Rosaceae.
UAAGAUCUCUCACUUACAAGUAAACUGUAGUACAAAAUGAUGGCAAGGGCAAAAAAAAUUAAAACUGAAUUUUGGCCAUGUUCCAGCUGAGGCCAAAUCGUCAGCACUCAAAAUGAAUAUGAGACCAAAUCUUCAGCAGUCAAAAUCCUCAAUUAUUCUGGAUUGUAUACCCUUCCAAUCUCCUCUAUUCAUAUUUAUGUGAUCACGAUUCCAGGUCCUUAGAGAGGCUACACUCAUUUUAAAAGUAAAAGAUUCGAUCUUGUUGCAGCAAAGUGUGACUUUGUAUUUUUGUGUUAUUGGACUCUAUUUUUUCAGGGAUUCAUAUUUAUGUGGUCACAAUUCCAGGUCCUUAGAGAGGCUACACUCAUUUUAAACGUAAAAGAUUCGAUCUUGUUGCAGUAAAGUGUGACUUUGUAUUUUUGUGUUAUUGGACUCUAUUUUUUCAGGUGUCAAUUCCGUACUUGGGGAUUGGGGUGCCGGCGAUUUCAAGUCUAAAGUUGCGUUUCUUUUUGUUUCUUUAGUAUGAGGACUUGUUAUGUAUUCAUUUCUCCUGUCUGUCACAUGUAAAAACAUACAAUAAUACAUUCAUCUUGUUCCACCCCCAAUCUCCAAUUCUCUCUAUUUUUGGGCAUUUAUAACAAAUAUCAACAUAUUAAAAAAGCCAAAUUAAUAUAAAUUUUCAAGAGUGCCAACAGAUGAUGCCAAUGAUAUAACAAAUAGACUGACAUCGAAUUAUACAGACAAAUUCAUCAAACUGAAAACAAAUUAUUAGGUUUUGCUUUAUCAUUUAAUAAAUAAAGCAUCAGAUUUAAGGAGUUGGAAGACUUGAUUUUGGUAAUUUAUAAAUAUAUCCAAUGACAAAUUAAUAUAAAAAAUAUAAAAUAAAAUUUGUUUCUUUUAUUUAGCGAAAAACCCAGUACGGAUCAUUCAGCCAUUU